AUUGAACGCUGGCGGCAGGCCUAACACAUGCAAGUCGAGCGGAUGAAGGGAGCUUGCUCCUGGAUUCAGCGGCGGACGGGUGAGUAAUGCCUAGGAAUCUGCCUGGUAGUGGGGGAUAACGCCCGGAAACGGGCGCUAAUACCGCAUACGUCCUGAGGGAGAAAGUGGGGGAUCUUCGGACCUCACGCUAUCAGAUGAGCCUAGGUCGGCUUAGCUAGUUGGUGGGGUAAAGGCCUACCAAGGCGACGAUCCGUAACUGGUCUGAGAGGAUGAUCAGUCACACUGGAACUGAGACACGGUCCAGACUCCUACGGGAGGCAGCAGUGGGGAAUAUUGGACAAUGGGCGAAAGCCUGAUCCAGCCAUGCCGCGUGUGUGAAGAAGGUCUUCGGAUUGUAAAGCACUUUAAGUUGGGAGGAAGGGCAGUAAGUUAAUACCUUGCUGUUUUGACGUUACCAACAGAAUAAGCACCGGCUAACUUCGUG
RNAcentral lists this ribosomal RNA (484 nucleotides) under uncultured bacterium. RNAcentral's name for it is "partial 16S ribosomal RNA". It matches the Rfam family "Bacterial small subunit ribosomal RNA", at positions 30 to 507 of the family's 1533-position model. The record is from RNAcentral.